This 465-nucleotide long non-coding RNA is filed under the name Pongo abelii (Sumatran orangutan). Its description in RNAcentral is "lncRNA (ENSPPYG00000034645.1)". The record is from RNAcentral. Lineage: Eukaryota; Metazoa; Chordata; Mammalia; Primates; Hominidae.
UUUCUCAUAUUUCUCUCAGAAUAUUAAUUAGUUUCUUUGACGUUUUCCUCUCCUUCCAGCUAAUAUACAAGUGAACCAGUGACCUGCAGCUCUGCCCACACGGGGUUAAUGACCAAUCAGAUUCUCUCUGUUCAAGAUGGUUAACAUAACAGACACCAAGAAAGGGAAGAGGAGCUGACAGCAGAGGGGGAAGCUGAAAAGAGGCACAAAGAAUGGCCAUAAAAGAUAUGAGCAACCCCAGCUUUCCAGACGGUGACUUUUCCCAGUGGUCAUAUCUGGUCUGGAAGAUUCCCUAUCGUCUCGAAUAAAGCUGUUGUUGCUUUUAACUCCAUGGAGAGACCGAAUGGAGUGAGCCCGCAGCAGGGCAUGCUGGGCAAGAGAGGUCUCCCGAGUCCCAAAUAAGAAUUUCAAGCAGUAUAAAACAAGGCAGCGAACCCACACGUGGAAGUCUGAUACCACUUGCAG